RNAcentral lists this ribosomal RNA (355 nucleotides) under Escherichia coli. RNAcentral describes it as "partial 23S ribosomal RNA". It matches the Rfam family "Bacterial large subunit ribosomal RNA", at positions 1 to 392 of the family's 2925-position model. RNAcentral also lists the same sequence under 2 other names. The record is from RNAcentral. Lineage: Bacteria; Pseudomonadati; Pseudomonadota; Gammaproteobacteria; Enterobacterales; Enterobacteriaceae.
GGUUAAGCGACUAAGCGUACACGGUGGAUGCCCUGGCAGUCAGAGGCGAUGAAGGACGUGCUAAUCUGCGAUAAGCGUCGGUAAGGUGAUAUGAACCGUUAUAACCGGCGAUUUCCGAAUGGGGAAACCCAGUGUGAUUCGUCACACUAUCAUUAACUGAAUCCAUAGGUUAAUGAGGCGAACCGGGGGAACUGAAACAUCUAAGUACCCCGAGGAAAAGAAAUCAACCGAGAUUCCCCCAGUAGCGGCGAGCGAACGGGGAGCAGCCCAGAGCCUGAAUCAGUGUGUGUGUUAGUGGAAGCGUCUGGAAAGGCGCGCGAUACAGGGUGACAGCCCCGUACACAAAAAUGCACAU